ACAUCAUGUUUGGCCUAAAUAUGGGAUGUGGUUGGGCUUGGUCUUACAUUUGUACGCGUUUGCCAUUAGUGUGGUUCAUGAUGACACAGCUGAGAUAGAAGAACAUUUAGCGCCUCUAGCGGUGAGUUAGGUUACUGACCGUGCUCUUCCACUCGACUCGAGAGUAGGCAGUAUGCUGCUACUCCGCAGUGUUUGUGAAGCUCGAACAGAGGAAAGCAGUUGUAGCCUAGGCUACUGAAGCACACGCGAAAUUGAGAAGGAAAUUGUAACUACCCAUGAAAACAACACAGAAGUUAUGUCUGCUGUCUUAUCGAUGUCAAUUAUAGGCUACUUCGUUCAGAAGUAACAUUUGGAUUAUGUUUGAGGCUACUGGAGAACUGUAAGAACAGCGGCGUUGGAACGAUGAUGAUGAGAACAGGUGUGGAAAAACCCCCUUUGGCACCCAAGCCAAAAGCCAUUCAAAAGACACAAAAACCAAAACCACCACCUAUAGCACCUAAGCCAGGUGUACUUUCACAGCCUUCUUCAGUGGAGAAAAGAACAGAGAAGCCACCAAUUGCACCUAAACCAUGCCUUCCCCAAAAUACCCACACAUCCGCACAUGAGAAACCUCCAGUUCUGAGGACAAAUGGUCCUCUCUUAGCACAACAGAAAUUAGGGACCACUAGUAAUGUGGGUUUGCUCAAUUCAAGGAAUGGUAUACAUCUGGGGCCAAAGAAACGUGAAUGGGAUUACAUAAUUCCAAUUUGUGUCUGCAGUCGGGACGAUUGUCCACAAUGCAAGCCAAAGGAGGACAGCAAACAAGCUAUAACAAAUAUUGGCCAUCCAGGAAAAGACCAGGGAAACAAGCAAAAUGAAGGCUUCAAGAAGCUUGUACCAAGAUGUCGAACAAAAUUUGACAUAGAGCCUGACAUGGCAGAAACCAAGAACGGCCUUAUCAGCACUUGGAUUCCAAAUAGCUCACCGCUUGAGAGUCUCCGUAGCAACAGUAGUUCCGUGCGAAGGGCUCAGGAAGUGAUGGAGGAGCAGAGCAGCCCUGUCGAGAGGCUUGAUGACCGUAACGCUGCUCACAGGAACUCCACGUUCAGAACUAGACGCACUCCUCUUCAGAGGACCUGGAGCGAUGAGGUCAACGGUAACACUCACUGUCAACCUUCAAGGACCUCUGCAGAGCCCUCAGACAGCCACAGAUUAGACGGGAACCAAAUCAGAGACUCCACAGGGAUCACCCCCUCAAUCCCAGCAGCCCCCCAGAAGCCCCUACCUACUCCAGCGCCCCGCAGGCCGAGGGCAGAGACCCCAGUACACCAGGGGGACACUAAAAUGUGCAAAGAUGACAUGAGAACAUCUAGUGGUAUGAAUCUCACUGAGACAAUGACUGAUGCAGUGAACAUCACUGCAGUUUCUAGUGAAAACACCUCCUUAUAUGAAUCUGUUGAAACAGGCUAUGUGGAUUUGCACAUGCCAGUUCCUAUUCCGAGACAGAAAACGGGAAACCUGGAAAAGCCUGCUCCGUUUGGCCGGACGGAGAUCGCAAACGUGGCAGAGUAUUUCUAUAAAGCAACGGAAUUCUCAGUAGAUGCUGAUGACGGUGACGUUGAGAACAGUGAGAGUCCAUGCACAGUUAUCCAACCUAAACAGCUGAAGCUUACCAAUCAACUCACUGUGGCAACAAGGGUAAGGUCAGAAAAUGGAAAGCCACCAAUAACAUCCCCAGAAAAGCAACAUAGACAGCACUUCCCUACUGUCACAUCUCAGAGCACAAAGAAAGAGGAGAACACCUUGGGAAUAGCUAAAGACAAUCAGAGCUAUCUUAAUCCUGCUCCAAAAGAACUGGACAAUACAAAGAAGUCAGUUGGAAAGCAAGUUUCUAAUUCCAGCCCUGGCAACACAAAGGGGAAGCUGUUUGGUCAAAGCCUGAGGCCAAAAGCCAAGUCUUUCACAUCCGUGGAUCUGCUUCGCCCUGAUGGAAGCAAAAAAAUCUCUUUCCGGAAGUUUCUGGACAUUAAUAUUUCCGUGAAAAAGCUGCCCAAACUUUUGACCAAACGGGGACAGGCCACUGAUUGCAUGUCAGUGGAAAUGGAAGAGUCUGUGGAUGGGGACGAGGAGAGAGAGGGAACCCCCGCUGGGAAGGCCAAACCUCCCGCGAAUCGGAAGCUGUCCUGUCCAGUGAUCGGCAUGGAGCAGAGUGUGGACGGAGAGGACAUCUUCCCUGGGGCAGAAGCUGCAGUGGAGUACGAGAACUUCCCAAUCUAUGAGGAUAUUCCAGAUUACAUGAACCUUCCAGGCUCAAGUGCGUUAGCUCCCUCUACAGCCCCAGACUCGUGGCAGAGCUCCUCCUGGCUGGAGGAGGAGGACAUAUAUGAGGAGCAGGAGCCUUAUGAGCUGAUAGGAGAGUACGCUGAUGACACACAACAGCACAACGGAUACGAGAGGGCCAGGAUUGAGGAGGAUGUGGGUCAGGGUUAUGGGCACUCUGAAGAGGAGAUCUGCCACAGUUCAGAGGAUGAGGAUGAUCGGAGCACAAGCUCAAGCCAAGGGGAUCAUGAAGGUUCUGAACACAAUCAUCAUGUUGGAGAAACCAAGAAGAGCAAAGUGGUUCAUAUCGCCAGAGAAAUAAUGAGUUCAGAAAAAGUGUUUGUGGAUGUUCUGAAGCUUCUUCAUAUUGACUUUCGAGAUGCAGUGGCCAAGGUCUCUCAGCAGGCAGGAAAGCCUGUGAUUGAGGAGCGCAACCUGAAUCAGAUCCUGUACUACCUCCCACAGUUAUAUGAGCUCAACCAGGACCUGCUUAAAGAGCUGGAGGACCGGGUAGCCCAAUGGGAUCAGUAUUCCCAGUUAGCCGACAUCUUUGUUAAGAAAGGGCCAUAUCUAAAGAUGUACUCCACGUAUAUCCGCGAGUUCGACAAGAAUGUGGCCCUACUAGAUGAGCAGUGUCGGAAGAACCCAAGCUUCGCCGCAGCUGUGAGGGAAUUUGAAGCAAGCCCUCGUUGUGCCAACUUAGCACUGAGGCAUUACCUACUGAAACCCAUUCAGAGGAUACCUCAAUACCAGCUAUUACUAACAGAUUACUUAAAGAAUCUCACAGAAGACUCAACAGACUACAAAGACACCCAAGCUGCUUUAAGUAUUGUUAAGGAGGUAGCCAAUCACGCCAACGACAUCAUGAAACAAGGGGAUAACUUUCAGAAACUCAUCGAAGUUCAGUGCAGGCUAACUGGGCACCAUGAGAUUGUUCAGCCGGGCAGGGUGUUCCUGAAAGAGGGAAUUCUGAUGAAGCUCUCGCGGAAAGUCAUGCAACCACGAAUGUUUUUCCUGUUCAACGAUGCCUUGCUGUACACAACUCCGGUCCAGUCGGGGCAGUUCAAGUUGAACAACAUGCUUUCUCUAGCAGGAAUGAAGGUCACUAGACCCAGUCAGGAGGGUUACCAAAAUGAACUCAACAUCGAGAGUGUUGAGCGCUCUUUCAUUCUAUCAGCAAGCUCCGAAUCAGAACGGGAUGCCUGGUUAGAGGCCAUCUCUACAGCCAUCGGUGAAUAUACCAAGAAGAUGAUCACUUUCAUUUCAAGCAGAUAUCAGGAAGAGGGGGAGGGAGAUGCCUCUGGGGCCUCCCUGGGCUCUAAAGCCCCCAUCUGGAUCCCAGACCCGCGUGCCACCAUGUGUAUGAUCUGCACCUGCGAGUUCACGCUCACCUGGAGGCGACACCACUGCAGGGCCUGCGGGAAGGUGGUGUGUCAGACUUGUUCAAAUAACAAGCAUCAGCUCGAGUACUUGAAGAACCAACCCGCUCGUGUGUGUGAUCAGUGCUUUGUCUCUCUACAGAAGAGGACAGCAGAACUGACCCUCGGCACAGGUGGCCAGGCGCAAAGCAAUGCCUCUUCAACUGGCAAAUCUGCCGCCUUCUCCCUUCAGGAAGCAGAAGAGGAUCCCUGCAGCUCUCAAAGAGGUGUCCGCAAACACAGAUGUCUCAUCUAUGAGUGGCUACCUUGAAAGGUCAAAGGGUAACAAGAAGCAAUGGAAAAGGUUUUGGUUUGUCAUCAAGGACAAAGUCCUAUACACAUAUGCUGCUAGUGAGGAUGUUGCCGCUCUUGAGAGUCAGCCUCUUCUGGGCUUCAAGCUGAGGACGGAGGAGAGGGCUGGCACCACACAGACCCUGCAGUUCAAGCUCUAUCAUAAAGACACCCUCCAUCACAUGUUUAAAGCAGAU
Molecule: RNA transcript, 4204 nt
Organism: Alosa alosa (allis shad)
Lineage: Eukaryota; Metazoa; Chordata; Actinopteri; Clupeiformes; Clupeidae
Gene name: FYVE, RhoGEF and PH domain-containing protein 6-like
Exons: 20
Source: RefSeq, a predicted model, not a curated record